GAUCAUGGCUCAGAUUGAACGCUGGCGGCAUGCCUUACACAUGCAAGUCGAACGGCAGCGGGCCUUCGGGUGCCGGCGAGUGGCGAACGGGUGAGUAAUGCAUCGGAACGUGCCAUUGAGUGGGGAUAACGUAGCGAAAGUUACGCUAAUACCGCAUAUUCUGUGAGCAGAAAAGCAGGGGACCGCAAGGCCUUGCGCUCUUUGAGCGGCCGAUGUCAGAUUAGCUAGUUGGUGAGGUAAAGGCUUACCAAGGCGACGAUCUGUAGCGGGUCUGAGAGGAUGAUCCGCCACACUGGAACUGAGACACGGUCCAGACUCCUACGGGAGGCAGCAGUGGGGAAUUUUGGACAAUGGGCGCAAGCCUGAUCCAGCCAUGCCGCGUGAGUGAAGAAGGCCUUCGGGUUGUAAAGCUCUUUCGGCCGGGAAGAAAUCGCAUGGGUUAAUACCCUGUGUGGAUGACGGUACCGGAAUAAGAAGCACCGGCUAACUACGUG
This 494-nucleotide ribosomal RNA is filed under the name uncultured bacterium. RNAcentral's name for it is "bacterial SSU rRNA". It matches the Rfam family "Bacterial small subunit ribosomal RNA", at positions 15 to 507 of the family's 1533-position model. The record is from RNAcentral.